This 108-nucleotide ribosomal RNA is filed under the name Escherichia coli. The record is from RNAcentral. Lineage: Bacteria; Pseudomonadati; Pseudomonadota; Gammaproteobacteria; Enterobacterales; Enterobacteriaceae. RNAcentral also lists the same sequence under 15 other names.
CAGUAGCGCGGUGGUCCCACCUGACCCCAUGCCGAACUCAGAAGUGAAACGCCGUAGCGCCGAUGGUAGUGUGGGGUCUCCCCAUGCGAGAGUAGGGAACUGCCAGGC